This is a long non-coding RNA of Lagopus leucura (white-tailed ptarmigan), 912 nucleotides long. RefSeq lists it as uncharacterized. Lineage: Eukaryota; Metazoa; Chordata; Aves; Galliformes; Phasianidae. The transcript has 2 exons. The record is from RefSeq and is a predicted model, not a curated record.
CCCCCCUUUCCCCCCCAGCUCCUCCAUUGGCCGCCGUUAUCCGCGCCGCCGCUGCCUCUGCUGCUUCUUCCUGGGGCUGCUGAUGGCCGCCUCCGCCACCGGCCUGGCUGUGGGGACGUGGGCAGCAGCGCGUCGCUGGGGGGCUCUCCACGCGUGUUGGGCCGUGUUGGUGGCGGGGGCCGGAGCGUGUCUGCUGCGCGCCGGCUACUGGGGCUGCGUGAGGGUCAGCCACCCCAUCCCGCAACGCGCCUGAGCAACAUGCCAACGACACGCCAACGACACGCCAAGGACACACGUCGACGGUCCCUGCUGGUUCCGACACGCCAAGGUCACGCUAAGGACACGCUAAAAGGGAGGGGGGGAAGGACGUGGCGAGGAGGCGGCGUGGCGUGAGGUGGGACAUGCUAAGGACAUGCUAAGGUCAUGCUAAGGGUGUGCUUGCGUCACGGUGGGUUUGUCGUAUUGGUGGUCAUGCAGGCUUUGGAACACGCUAAGGACACGCUUAGGUCAUGGAACAUGCUAAGGACAUGCUUAGCUUGUGGUACAUGCUAAGGACAUGAGGCUGUCAUGCAGCGUGCUUCAGGUGUGGGAACAUGCUAAGGUCAUGCUUGCGUCAUGGAACACGCUAAGGGCACGGGUUCAUCAUGUGACAUUCCUCAGACAUGCCGAAGUCAUGGGGCGUGCUAAGGACAUGCUUGCGACAUGGAACACGCUAAGGACACGGGUUCUCUUGUAUGACAUUCCUCAAACAUGCUAAGGACACGCCAACGUCACGGCACACACUAAGGACAUGGGGUUUCUUUCUCACAUUCCUUGGGCCGUUGUCGAGUCAUGUAACAUGCUAAGGGCACGCCAACAUCAUGUGACAUUCCUUGGGUUGUCGGGUCAUGUAACAUGCUAAGGACAUACGAA